This 317-nucleotide unclassified non-coding RNA is filed under the name uncultured fungus. Its description in RNAcentral is "partial contains 5.8S ribosomal RNA and internal transcribed spacer 2". The stretch from base 1 to 133 matches the Rfam family "5.8S ribosomal RNA", at positions 22 to 154 of the family's 154-position model. Lineage: Eukaryota; Fungi. The record is from RNAcentral.
UGGUUCUGGCAUCGAUGAAGAACGCAGCGAAAUGCGAUAAGUAAUGUGAAUUGCAGAAUUCAGUGAAUCAUCGAAUCUUUGAACGCACAUUGCGCCCCGUGGUAUUCCGCGGGGCAUGCCUGUUCGAGCGUCAUUUCAACCCAUCAAGCUUCGGCUUGGUCUUGGGGCCUGCGGUUUCGCAGCCUCUAAACACAGUGGCGGUGCUUCUAAGCUCUGAGCGUAGUAAAUUUUCUCGCUAUAGGGUCUUGAGAGGCUACUUGCCAAUAACCCCUAAUUUAUACUAAGUUGACCUCGGAUCAGGUAGGGAUACCCGCUGA